AAAUAUGAUGAUUAUUUUUGUCGACCGGGCGGACAUAGUUUAGUAUCUGUUGGGUGGUAGCUGUUGCAAUUUAAGUUCUCUUCUUGUGUACAAAUUUUUAAAGAGGAGGAUGGCAGUGGCAUUAUUAUCACCUGGCAGAGAAUGGAUGAUUGGUCACAAGAUAGCUGAUU
RNAcentral lists this small nucleolar RNA (170 nucleotides) under Nakaseomyces glabratus. RNAcentral's name for it is "Candida glabrata Small nucleolar RNA snR70". It matches the Rfam family "Small nucleolar RNA snR70". Lineage: Eukaryota; Fungi; Ascomycota; Saccharomycetes; Saccharomycetales; Saccharomycetaceae. The record is from Rfam by way of RNAcentral.